GGUAAAGCUAACGUAGCCGACUUUGACAGAAAGUUCGGUGAAAGCCCUAGCUUUUCACAGUCAUCAUGCCCACCGAUGACGACGAGUUUUCUCCGACCGAUGAACCCUUAUCUCCGACGCCGAGUCCCGAUCUCGACAUCACCGUUAUCGAAGAAGGUUCUGAUGAAAGUGAGCAGAUUGGUGAGGGUGAUAUCAUAGCAAUGAAUUGGACCACAAACAACUUUUUGGGAUUGAAGAAAGCAAUGAUCUUGAUGUUCUGGAUUUAGAAGGUAAUGAUCUAGAGAAUGGAAAUGAACAUGUUCUUGAUUUAGAAAGCAAUGAUCAUCUGGAAUGUAGAAAAAUAGAUGGUUAGAAGGGAUUCAAUGUGAUGAAUCUGGAUCAACAGCUAGUUUGAAUCUUGAACACAGCAUUUGUAAUGGGACUGUUUACCCUCCAUUGGUAGGAAUGGAGUUCGAUUCUUACGAUGAUGCUUAUAACUAUUAUAACAGCUACGGAAAAGAUCUCGGAUUUGCCAUACGGGUAAAGUCGUCAUGGACAAGCGAAACAGCAAAGAGAAACGUGGCGCGGUCUGUGCUGUAACUGUGAGGGAUUUAAGAUGAUGAAGGAAGCAAAUAGCAGAAGAAAAGAGACAAGAACAGGUUGUUUGGCAAUGUUAAGAUUGAUGGCUGGUCGAAUCAAACAAAUGAGAGUUGAUGAAGUUAAACUCGAGCACAACCACUUAUUCGAUCCUGAAAGAGCUCAACAAUCCAAGUCGCAAAAGAAAAUGGACCUAACCGGAGUCAAGAGGCUAUUGGAGUCUCCUCCUGAUAUAGAAGUUCGUACAUUAAGCUGUAUAGAACCCUAACCCACCAGGUUUCAAUUGAUUCAUCGAGCGAAAGAGAAAUUGGCGACAAUUCUUCCAAAUGCUUGAAACUCCAAACCGGGGAUUUGCAAGUUAUGAACGACUUCUUUCGUCGUAAACAGCUGACAAAUCCAAACUUUUUCUAUUCGAUGGAUUUUAGCGACGAGGGGCAUUUAAGGAAUGUGUUUUGGAUUGAUUCAAGAUCAAGGGCAGCUUAUUCGCAUUUCGGUGAUGUGAUUGCAUUUGACACAACAUGUCUUUCAAACCGGUAUAAGGUUCCUGUCUUCACGUUUCUCGGAAUCAAUCAUCAUGGGCAAUCUAUAAUUCUAGGUUGCGGUUUACUUUCGGAUGAAACAUCGGAAUCUUACGUUUGGUUACUAAGGGCGUGGCUUACAUGUAUGUUGGGGCGUCCACCUCAAACGAUUGUCACCGGUCAAUGCAAUUCCUUACAAAACGCGAUAUCCGAGGUAUUUCCUAGGGCUCAGCAUCGCGUUUGCUCCUCGCAUGUCGUGAAAAUAAUACUCGCAAGUUUAAGCGAGCUCAAUAUAGAGAAAUACGAGUUAUUUCAACAAACAUUGUCAGAAAACGUGUAUAACACAAAUAAAAUUGACGAUUUCGAGAUGGCUUGGAAGAGAUGAUCCGGCGGUUCGGGCUUAUGGAUGUCGAAUGGCUACAAUCUUUAUACGAAGAUCGAGACGUUGGGCUCGGUUUAUUCAAAAGACGCGUUUCUUGCAGGAACUUUUGUUCCUCAGCCCUGCAAGGUUUUGAAAUCGCCUUUCGAAGGGUACUUACAAGAACAAACUCAAUUAAAAGAAUUCUUCUAUUCAUACGAACUGAUUUUACAACAACAGAUCCGGAAGGAAUCCAUCGACGACUCUACAUCGAGAGAGUUCAAUCCGACGCUGAAAACGAGAUGUACCUAUGAGCUCCAGUUAUCGAAAGUCUACACGAAAGAAAUAUUCUCCAAGUUCCAAGUAGAGGUCGACAUGAUGUCAUCGUGUUUAAGCGUAACUCAGUCUCACACUGUCGGGCAUGUUCAUCACUUACGCCAUAAAAGAACGCGAAGAUGACGAAGAUAACGAUGUAUCAACAAACCAUAGGUUAUUUCGGAAUUUUGGAGGUUACGUUCGAUAAAUCCGCAAUAGAAGUCCGUUGUGUUUGCAAUUGCUUCAGUCUCGAAGGGUACCUAUGUCGACACGCAUUAUGUGUUCUUAGCUAUCAUGGGAUGGAUGAAAUCCCACCUCAUUACAUAUUGCCUAGAUGGAGGAAGGAUUUCAAGCGGAUAUAUGUUUCCCGAUGUUGGGGCCUGACUGUAUCGACCACUCUAAUGCGGUUCAGUGGUUCGACCAUCUGCAUCGACGAGCCAUGCAGGUUGUGGGAGAAGGUACGACGUCUCAAGAUCAUUAUAUGGUUGCUUGGCACGCGUUUAAGGAGUCUCUGAAUAAAGUUCGUCUUGCUGCUGAGAAACGUGUAUAGAAAAAGGUAAUUCAUUUUGUAUGUCCAUUUCAUUUUGGUACAUAAAUCCCAAUAGAAAGAUUCUU
Impatiens glandulifera is the source of this 2382-nucleotide long non-coding RNA. RefSeq lists it as uncharacterized. The record is from RefSeq and is a predicted model, not a curated record. The transcript has 2 exons. Lineage: Eukaryota; Viridiplantae; Streptophyta; Magnoliopsida; Ericales; Balsaminaceae.